RNAcentral lists this ribosomal RNA (492 nucleotides) under uncultured bacterium. Its description in RNAcentral is "partial 16S ribosomal RNA". It matches the Rfam family "Bacterial small subunit ribosomal RNA", at positions 29 to 507 of the family's 1533-position model. The record is from RNAcentral.
AGUGAACGCUGGCGGUAGGCCUAACACAUGCAAGUCGAACGGCAGCACAGUAAGAGCUUGCUCUUACGGGUGGCGAGUGGCGGACGGGUGAGGAAUACAUCGGAAUCUACUUUUUCGUGGGGGAUAACGUAGGGAAACUUACGCUAAUACCGCAUACGACCUACGGGUGAAAGCAGGGGAUCUUCAGACCUUGCGCGAUUGAAUGAGCCGAUGUCGGAUUAGCUAGUUGGCGGGGUAAAGGCCCACCAAGGCGACGAUCCGUAGCUGGUCUGAGAGGAUGAUCAGCCACACUGGAACUGAGACACGGUCCAGACUCCUACGGGAGGCAGCAGUAGGGAAUCUUGGACAAUGGGCGAAAGCCUGAUGCAGCAACACCGCGUGAGUGAAGAAGGCCUUCGGGUUGUAAAGCCCUUUUGUUGGGAAAGAAAAGCAGCAGGUUAAUACACCGAUGUUCUGACGGUACCCAAAGAAUAAGCACCGGCUAACUUCGUG